GACGAACGCUGGCGGCGUGCUUAACACAUGCAAGUCGAACGGAAAGACCCUGCUUUUGUGGGGUGCUCGAGUGGCGAACGGGUGAGUAACACGUGAGUAACCUGCCCUUGACUUUGGGAUAACUUCAGGAAACUGGGGCUAAUACCGGAUAGGAGCUCCUGCUGCAUGGUGGGGGUUGGAAAGUUUCGGCGGUUGGGGAUGGACUCGCGGUUUAUCAGCUUGUUGGUGGGGUAGUGGCUUACCAAGGCUUUGACGGGUAGCCGGCCUGAGAGGGUGACCGGCCACAUUGGGACUGAGAUACGGCCCAGACUCCUACGGGAGGCAGCAGUGGGGAAUAUUGCACAAUGGGCGGAAGCCUGAUGCAGCAACGCCGCGUGCGGGAUGACGGCCUUCGGGUUGUAAACCGCUUUCGCCUGUGACGAAGCGUGAGUGACGGUAAUGGGUAAAGAAGCACCGGCUAACUACGUG
RNAcentral lists this ribosomal RNA (468 nucleotides) under uncultured bacterium. RNAcentral describes it as "partial 16S ribosomal RNA". It matches the Rfam family "Bacterial small subunit ribosomal RNA", at positions 28 to 507 of the family's 1533-position model. The record is from RNAcentral.